CUUGAAAUGAUUUCACAGAGUGCUGUAGAGCUGAAGAAGCUCAUCAAAGGCCCUCAAAAGUAAUUGUGAGUACCAACGUGAAAUAUUUUUUUCUGGGAGGAUGGGCAGCAGACUUGACUUGCAAACUUCUCUUCAAAGACUGAAUAUGGAAAUGUAGGACAACUGCAUGGGAAUUUAAAGAUGACUUUCCCCUAAGAUAAUGAUGAAAGUGAAGGUGGAUGAGGAAAUUUCUAAGAAAAAAAAUGGAAUGGGGAAAGAAGGCAAUUAUCAAAAGGAGAAAAAUAAAAAUGAAUUUAAUACAUGCUUCGUUUCAAAACUAUGAACUGGAGAGGGCUUUUAUAUCUCCACAUAACAGCAAGCAGUUGUUCUAUGGAAGAUGCAAGAACCAAAAAAAAAAGGAAAAGAAAAGAAAAUCAGUACUCUUUUGGGACGAAAAGAAAUGUUGAAAUAUUAGGAAGGAAAUUCCAUUCUUUGAACGUCUUCACUGAGCUUGAUCACAG
Molecule: long non-coding RNA, 500 nt
Filed under: Struthio camelus australis
Lineage: Eukaryota; Metazoa; Chordata; Aves; Struthioniformes; Struthionidae
Description: lncRNA (ENSSCUG00000006122.1)
Source: RNAcentral